GGAUUAGAUACCCUGGUAGUCCUAGCCGUAAACGAUGACCACUAAGUGGGGGGGCUCCCAAGGCUUCCCCGCCGGAGCUAAUGUGUUAAGUGGUCCGCCUGGGGAGUAUGGUCGCAAGGCUAAAACUCAAAGGAAUUGACGGGGGCUCACACAAGCGGUGGAGCAUGUUGUUUAAUUCGAUCAACGCGAAGAACCUUACCUGGACUUGACAUGUACGUGUUACCGAAGUGAAAGCGGAGGGACCCUCUUCGAGGGAGCGUACACAGGUAUUGCAUGGCUGUCGUCAGCUCGUGCUG
RNAcentral lists this ribosomal RNA (296 nucleotides) under uncultured bacterium. RNAcentral describes it as "partial 16S ribosomal RNA". It matches the Rfam family "Bacterial small subunit ribosomal RNA", at positions 775 to 1067 of the family's 1533-position model. The record is from RNAcentral.